GUUUGGUUAAGUUAGAAAGGGCGCACGGUGGAUGCCUUGACACUAGGAGUCGAUGAAGGACGGGACUAACGCCGAUAUGCUUCGGGGAGCUGUAAGUAAGCUUUGAUCCGAAGAUUUCCGAAUGGGGAAACCCACUAUACGUAAUGGUAUGGUAUCCUUAUCUGAAUACAUAGGGUAAGGAAGACAGACCCAGGAAACUGAAACAUCUAAGUACCUGGAGGAAGAGAAAGCAAAUGCGAUUUCCUGAGUAGCGGCGAGCGAAACGGAACAUAGCCCAAACCAAGAGGCUUGCCUCUUGGGGUUGUAGGACAUUCUAUACGGAGUUACAAAGGAACGAGGUAGACGAAGCGACCUGGAAAGGUCCGUCGUAGAGGGUAACAACCCCGUAGUCGAAACUUCGUUCUCUCUUGAAUGUAUCCUGAGUACGGCGGAACACGUGAAAUUCCGUCGGAAUCUGGGAGGACCAUCUCCCAAGGCUAAAUACUCCCU
Molecule: ribosomal RNA, 489 nt
Filed under: Bacillus cereus
Lineage: Bacteria; Bacillati; Bacillota; Bacilli; Caryophanales; Bacillaceae
Description: bacterial LSU rRNA
Rfam family: Bacterial large subunit ribosomal RNA
Source: RNAcentral